ACAAAACGGAUUUCUCUAGGGGGUUUUGCCAUGUACAGAUAAAUUAAUAUUUAUCUACAAAGCUGAUAAAUUCAAUGAUUCAAAGAAGUGUCAAUGAUUUUAAAAAACUCACAUUAACGCUAUCAUGUUCUAUCCAGAUUUGUAGACGAAAUAAUUUCAAUCAUAAACAUGUAAGGACACUUCCAAAACUCUACAUCACCUUGCUGUGUCACGUAAUUAAAGAGGAGAAAGAAAGGAGAAAACAAUGUUUUACACCAGACUUUUUCGUAGCACAGAAACAAAAAGAGAAACGACUACCAUUUUAAACCCACUAAUAGACACACAAUAUACAAUAUGCGUUGUGUUGUUUCUGUUGCAACGUCACAGGUACAACACAGCCACGUCCUGUGCAUGCUCCUCAAUCCUGACAUCCCCACUUUAGCAAUUGGAAAUUUCUUUGUUAUUUUCAUCUUUCUUCCAUACCACAAGCAUGUGCACUGUUAGAAUUAAAUCGGCUAGUUUCAAUUUAAUUCUAGUAAAUCCCAUGGGCCCACAAUUGACGUUAAGAGAUUAAUACCACCUUAGAAUCCAAUGCGAAAGUACCUCAACUUAAAUAGGUUGUUAAUUGAGAUCACUUGUUGAACGGUUGAGGGGGUGAUGGGACUGCCACACGCGCACCAAGUCAGGUCGGCCAGUCGGGUCUGGGGUGUACGAGACAAUGGCUGCUCUCCUUCCGGACGUUUUUUUUUUAUGAGUAAUGUAACUGACAGAGACUCCUUACCACUGAAACGGACAGAGCAAUCAAUCGGGUUUAAUCUCUCCCAAAACAUAUCUCUCUCAUUAUCCUCCACCUCCAUGAUAGACAGAGAGAUUCUCUCUUCCUGACACUUUGCUUCGGCUCUCCCCGGUCCUGAUCACUUGCGCGCACAAGUGUUCGCGACGAGCAGACCUCCAGAACUCCAUCCACCUAAGUACAUGCACUGAUAGGUAGGCAAUCAAGUUUUUGCGGAGCGUGAAGAACACGCGACUACUCUCAGCACUGCUUCCUCUGUAUCACGUUCUUCUUGCUCUACAUCAACAACUCGGAUCAUAUCGAUCACCAAUGGAGGAGAAGACGGCAACAACAAAGGUGGUGACAUCACCAACACCUUCGCCUUUGGAUCCAAAGCGUUCUUCAAGUUGAGGAAAUUGAGCUCCAUCUCAAGCAUUUGAUGCUGCUGUUUACACCCAAAUUUAGCACAUAGGAUCAAAUUAAAGAAGAAUUGCAAAGAUUUGGGAGAAUCACCGGGUUUCCUCCACAGGGCCGGUCUGACCGUCGUUUGAUGGUGGUCAGACCAUUGCUUGAGGGCUGGUCUGACCGGCGGCAUGUGGCCAGUCGGACUUGCAGAGUCCGAGACCAAGUAUGUUUUCAUCGGGUCUUGGGUUUCCUUACUCGCGAGGCUAUGUUUCGGGUUUCCUUUGGUUUCUAUCCCGAGUUGGAUGUGGAGGAGGACCCGUAGGAGAUAAGACCAACCCCAAUAUAAGGGAUAAGGCCGGUUCAACUGGAGGAGAAUCUACACACAAUCCAAUUUAGCCAAUUGAAUCGUUUUUUUCAAUAUUUCAAUCUACUUCUAGUCUAGUUCGUCCAUCUUUAUCAAUUUGCGCCGUAAAUCGGCCGCCUUCGCUACGAGAGUGUGAAAUCCUUUGUAGGUUUGUCCCGUAAACCUUUCGUUUGCCCACGAGAUGGGUAGUUAUCUAUUGUUUUAUCUAAAUUAGCUCCGCUAGCCGGUUUAAUCUAUCAAAACCCAUCUUGGUCCAGCUUUUGCUAGAUUGGGGUGGUUGGCGACUCUACAAUCACCGCAAGGCGUUUAGGUAUCCCGAUCAUGCUUGUCUACUUGUCAAAAAAGUUGCCAACAGCUGCCGCCGGUGGCAGAGCUCCAGUGCAAGCACUACGCUGCUUGAGCUGUUCCCGGAUGGGUGGUUCCUCAAGCCUGACAGGGAAGAGAGAAAGAGAGAGGAGAGAGGGAGCUACAGGUUGAAGAAUAAUAUAGGCCCAAAUUAACUGAAACAAUGUGUAAAGAUUAGGUGCAAAGUGAAAGAUUGAUUUGCCCCUUGUUCAA
This is a non-coding RNA of Oryza sativa Japonica Group (Japanese rice), 2078 nucleotides long. The record is from RefSeq and is a predicted model, not a curated record. NCBI's taxonomy places the organism in Eukaryota, Viridiplantae, Streptophyta, Magnoliopsida, Poales, Poaceae.